UUUGGAUUUGAAUUUUUGGCGUGGAAAAUGUGUCUUGUUUGCCGAUUUUUUGUAUGAUUUUAUGUUUAUAUCAAGUCUCGUUUAUUCGGUGAACUAAAACGGAUCGUAUUUUCGAAAUAAAGCUCAAUAUUUGGUGAGUAUUUUUAUAUUUUAUAGCGAUUUAUAUUUUAUUUACACUUCAAUUGAUUGUGAUAGAUUUGAUUUUGAUCGCACAUCACAGAGUGUGACAAUAUAUAUAUAUCUAUUCCAUACCGACCUAAUCCUUCGUAUAUUACAGAUAAUAUUUUUAAUAAAUAAUAGUUUUCUAAAUGGCAGUAUAUUUGUUAUUGUGUUUUAGACCAAAGCUCUGAGCAGAGAAUUUUGCUUAUAUUAAGUAUAGAAGAUUCAAGGCAACUAGGCAAGGUAUGGGUCUAUACAGUAGAUUGAAUUUCUCUCUUGUAUUAAAAUCAUAGGCUGUAUAUAUAAAUGAAAAUGUUUUUCAAAUUCUUUGCCGGUAACAUAAUGGUGCUAAAGCCCUGUUCACAUGAUCCCGGGAUAAACAACUGCCCCGCGACAAGUCAUUGACCCGGGAUACUGAUAUCUUCUGUUUACAUGAACAAAACUAGCGCGGGUCAUGCCUAUAAAUACAUUACGCGGGAAUCAUAAAAUAUUCCCGCCAACGUGAAACGGUGAAAUAUUGCUAAAUAAAAAACAUUCUGAUAAAUGCAAGUCGUAUUUUAUGUUAUGAUAUUUACAAAUAGAACGUAGUUGAUUAUCAGCCGUGGUAAAAUGUGCUCAAUUCAUUGUUUCUGGUUGACCAGAUCAAAUUUUUUGAGUAGCAUGCUACACUUCUUGGUUUCAAACAUGAUAUUAGCGACAAUUUUAUUUUAAUAUUAUUAGAAUCAGAUGUCACGUAUAGAUUUCUAAUGGUAUCUUCAAUCAGAUAACAAGUUUUUGUGGAGUCCAACGUGCUCUAAAUGUAAUUUUAGCCGCGAUUUUGAUCGUUUUACAAAAAAUUUAAUUAUCCCGGGACAAAGUUGCUCCGGGGCAAAGUGUUCACAUGAGGAUCCGGGGCAAAGUGUUCACAUGAGGAAAAGUUGUCCCGGCUAGGCGAGUGUCCCUGUCUACAGAGGCGAGGCACUCGGGUCAAUUCUUGUCCCGGGGCAAAUAAAAUAUCAUGUGAACAGCACUAUUCUUUUAUUAAGGAGCCGAGACAAUUUUUGUCCCGUGACAAUUGCUUGCCCCGAGACAUACGCUGUCCCGGGUUCAUGUGAACAGGGCCUAAGGUUAUAUUCAUAAAUAAAAAAAUGAGUAGUAGGUGUUCAAUGUUCAUGUAAAAAUAUAUUCACUCAUUAAUUUUGGCAAUGUUGGCCAAAUUUUCAACCAUUACUGGGCUAGCCUGUUUAAUAGCUGAUAGCCUCUGUCUCCUCGGCAGAGCUCACCUAAACAAGGUGAUUUGCCGAAGCAAGGGAUAGAGGGCUAGACUUAUGAAAUUGAAGCUUCUCCUUGUUAAAAAGCCAGAGGAGAGAGUGAUAGCCUGGAGUCGGGCUGAAAUUUGUCCAUGAUGUAAAGUCACCAGCCCGGAUAACCAGGCUAGCACAAACACAGUCUCGUAAAAAAGGAAUAUUUUUCUUGAUUGGGUUGUUCCAGAAAAGAUCCAUACUCCUCCCACAGAGGAAAUUUCUGCCAUCCGGAGGGGGAGGGGAGAAAAAAUUGUUUCUGAUAAUACUAAAUGUAUUAGGACAUUCGAAGGGGGUAGGGGGGUUAACUUCCUAUUUCCUCCGUGGGGGUGGUAUGGAUGUUUUCUGGAAUGACCCUUUAACUUUUAUUUCUUAAGUUAAUCUUGCUGAUGCAAUAAUUUUAAAUUGAAAAUUUGUCAAAUAAAGCAUGAAUUUGACUGAACAGUGAAAACCUUCAGCUAUUAUCUUGUAAACAAGUAAAAAGUUUUCCCACCAAUGUAAUAUAAUUUCCUUGCUGACAUUUUUGCCUCGCAUACAUCUCAUUCUGGCUACCUGGGCUCGUGUAAAAAGCCUGUUUACUUUGUCUGAUACCAGACAAUUUUACAGAGAGAGUCUUGCAAAUUAACGAGUGAUAUAUUUUUACAUGAACCUUGAACACCUACUUUAAUAGAGAUGAGUAACUUGCUUUGAUGCAAUGAUGGGAUAGGGAUACCAUUUUGUUUGUGUGAACUGAGACUUACUGAGUAUGUUAUCUGAGUUUACAUCAGACAUAAUUUGCAAAUACUUUUCCCAACCCAUUGCCAAUGUUUUUUUUAAAGCAGAAAAUAAACUAAAUAGCCUCUAUCUAUACAUAUAACUAUGAUCUAAAUCAUCUAAUUAUUUAUCAUUGCCAUUAUUAGUAUUAUAUUAGUACUAUUCCAUGCAGUGGUGUAACUUUCAUUUUUUGACCACUUGCCCUCAGGGCAAAUUGGACAUGAAAAUUAGUUGCCCUGAACUUCACUUGCCAUCAGACAAUGGCCAUGCACUGGGGUACCUAGGUAGGUGGUAUAAAUUUUGGGGAACAACAUGUCCGUCCGUUCUCUCACUGCUCUAUAUGGCUAUGUUAUACUGCCUCAGAUCUAGCUUUGGCUCACAAUUAGUACAGUACAUGCGCUAUAAAAAAAUUAUCAGACAAUGAAAACAUAAAAUAAACUUCAAGAUAUCCAGCUUUUGGUGGCAAGGCAACUUGCAAGACAAAAUGUUUACUUGCCCAUCAUAAUAUUAUUAACUUGCCCCAGGCAAGCGGGCAAGUGUUAAGUUACACCUCGGAUUCCAUGGCUAUAUUAUUGACCAAUUGAUUUUUAGCGAUAAGCUAAAACUUGCCUUGUGCCCAGGGGUCUGCCUAUUAGCCCCAAAACAUGUUUCCUCUGACAAUUUUUUAAAUUCUAAUACUCAUCGGAUAAUUCAUCAGACUUUAAUCUUGAACUGUUUGUGCCAGUGUGGGUAGUGUAAAAAUAAACAAAGUUUUCGUUGGCAGGAAUGAAACUACCUCUAAGGGCCUUUGUUGGGAGUUAGUCGAAGACAACGAAUGACUUUCACUCAAAACGUUGAGUUUCUCCUUAUAUUUUUCAAGUAGUUGCAUUCCUGCUAAUGAAAGCUUUGUUCAUCUGACUUUCCCUCGAUAUUGUUUUUUACCAAAUUACUGGCAUCCAAUAUUGCAUUGCACUCUUGAUGACGUUAAUACACCAAAUGCUCAUCAGGAAUGUAACUGUUUACAUAAACAAAAUCCUGUACAGAUAUGGUAUGCUUUAAAAAUAAAUGUUUUCAGUAUUGUUCUGGAGGUUAGCACUUGGCAUGUGGGCUGUGAUUGUAAAAGUGCUGCACUUGGGAUUGCAUACCUCUAAUAGUUGCAUUUUUUGCAAUGAUUUUCAGAAUUUUUUCUCGUCUCAAACUGUCCAGGAAACUUAUAGUUUUGUUGCUAUUUUUGUUUUUAGGUGUUAGCUGAACUUCAGAUAAUUAUAAUCAAGUAAGAUCUGUAAGUAAUAUUAUAUGUUCUAUCACUUCUAUGUACUAGUUAAAUGUGCA
Molecule: long non-coding RNA, 3503 nt
Filed under: Paramuricea clavata
Lineage: Eukaryota; Metazoa; Cnidaria; Anthozoa; Malacalcyonacea; Plexauridae
Source: RNAcentral